AAGAUUAGAUUUCCCAUCUGGUUAACAGAGUAAGAUCCCAGGAAGACUACCUGGUAGAUAGGUCACAGGUGUAAGGGCAGCAAUGUCUUCAGCUAAGUGAUACUAAUAGAUCGAGGACUUGACCAA
This 126-nucleotide non-coding RNA is filed under the name Andreesenia angusta. Its description in RNAcentral is "Eubacterium angustum Bacterial large subunit ribosomal RNA". It matches the Rfam family "Bacterial large subunit ribosomal RNA", at positions 2801 to 2925 of the family's 2925-position model. Lineage: Bacteria; Bacillati; Bacillota; Tissierellia; Tissierellales; Gottschalkiaceae. The record is from Rfam by way of RNAcentral.